UGAUCGGAUGCCGCCGCCGGCUUUGAACUUCAUCCGAAGGCUGCCUUCGCUGUCUGAUCGACUUUUGUAGGCGCGCAUGGAUGUUGGGCUAGCUAAGGAAAUGGCUAGAAUUCCCAUCUUCUUGAUGGGACUUCUUUUCUUAUGUUUCAACAUAGCCAGAGCUGAAGCACAAUACAUUAAUUAUAAAGACCCCAAACAGCCAUUAAAUUCUAGAAUCAAGGAUUUAGUGAGCCGGAUGACUUUGGAGGAAAAGAUUGGCCAAAUGGUGCAGAUAGACCGCAGUGUUGCUUCAGCUGAGGUGAUGAAGAAGCACUUCAUUGGGAGCAUAUUAAGCGGGGGUGGGAGCGUUCCAGCACAAAAGGGUUCUGCAGAAACUUGGAUUAACAUGGUCAAUGAUUUUCAAAAGGGUUCUUUAUCAACUCGGCUUGGAAUUCCAUUGAUUUAUGGUAUUGAUGCUGUUCACGGCCACAACAACGUCUACAAGGCAACAAUCUUUCCUCACAAUAUUGGGCUCGGAGCCACCAGGGAUCCGGAACUUGUUAAGAGGAUCGGAGCUGCAACUGCACUUGAAGCUAGAGCUACGGGCAUUCCAUAUGUCUUUGCCCCUUGUAUAGCGGUUUGCAGAGAUCCAAGAUGGGGUCGCUGUUAUGAAAGCUACAGUGAAGAUCCUAAGAUUGUUCAAGCAAUGACUGAGAUCAUUCCCGGCUUACAAGGGGAGAUACCAGCUAACUCUAGAAAGGGUGUUCCCUUCGUAGCAGGAAAUAAAAAGGUUGCAGCUUGUGCAAAGCAUUUUGUGGGUGAAACAACCAAAGGCAUCAAUGAGAAUAACACUGUGAUUAACAGACAUGGCUUGCUCAGCAUUCACAUGCCAGGCUACUAUAACUCAAUUAUCAAGGGUGUGGCAACCAUUAUGGUAUCCUACUCAAGCUGGAAUGGAGUAAAGAUGCAUGCUAAUCAUGAUCUUGUCACUGCCUUCCUUAAGAAUACGCUACGUUUCAGGGGUUUUGUCAUUUCAGAUUGGGAGGGUAUUGAUAGGAUCACCUCUCCGCCUCAUGCCAACUACUCUUAUUCAAUUCAGGCAGGAAUCAAUGCUGGCAUUGACAUGGUCAUGGUUCCAUACAACUAUAUGGAAUUCAUUGACGGUUUAACCUUCCUGGUGAAAAAUAAGAUCAUUCCCAUGAGCAGAAUUGAUGAUGCAGUAAAGAGAAUUUUGCGAGUUAAGUUUGUCAUGGGCCUAUUUGAGGAACCAUUCGCUGAUAUGAGCCUGGUCCACCAGCUUGGCAGUCAGGAACAUAGAGAACUGGCUAGGGAAGCUGUGAGGGGAUCGCUGGUGCUGCUAAAGAAUGGUGCUGAAAAGCCAUUGCUAUCCCUUCCCAAGAAGACAUCGAAAAUACUUGUAGCUGGCAGUCAUGCAGAUAAUCUUGGCUAUCAGUGUGGUGGGUGGACUAUUGAGUGGCAGGGAUUAAGUGGCAACAAUCUCACAGAAGGUACCAAAAUUCUUACCGCCAUAAAGAACACAGUGGAUCCAAAAGCACAAGUAGUCUACAAAGAGAAUCCUGACGCUGACUUUGUGAAGUCAAAUAAUUUCUCGUAUGCCAUUGUUAUAGUCGGAGAACAUCCAUAUGCCGAGACAUUUGGUGACAGCUUAAAUUUGACAAUCCCCGACCCUGGCCUGACCACCAUCACUAAUGUUUGCGGCACUGUGAAAUGUGUUGUUAUUGUCAUCUCCGGCUGUCCAGUUGUGAUCCAACCCUAUGUUGCUUCGAUUGAUGCCCUUGUCGCGGCUUGGCUUCCAGGAACUGAAGGCCAAGGAGUAGCUGAUGUUUUAUUUGGUGACUAUGGUUUCACUGGAAAGCUUUCUCGCACUUGGUUCAAAACAGUCGAUCAGCUACCUAUGAAUGUUGGAGAUGCACAUUAUGACCCUCUCUUCCCAUUUGGAUUUGGCCUCACUACAACCCCCACCCAUUUCAACUAGGAAAUGGCCAGACUUCCCGUCUUCUUGGCGGGACUUCUUCUCUUAUGUUUCUGCAGCAUAGCGAUAGCAGAAGCAGAAUACAUUAAAUAUAAGGACCCCAAACAACCAUUAAAUACUAGAAUCAAGGAUCUGAUGAGCCGGAUCACUUUGGAGGAAAAGAUUGGCCAAAUGGUGCAGAUAGAUAGCCGUGUUGCAUCAGCUGAGGGAGUAUAUUAAGUGGGGUUGUGAAUGUUAGAGUACAAAAGGGUUCUGCAGAAACUUGGGUUAAACUGGUGAAUGAUUUUCAAAAGGCUUCUUUAUCAACUCGGCUUGGAAUUCCAUUGAUUUAUGGUAUUGAUGCUGUUCAUGGCCACAACAGUGUCUACAAGGCAACAAUCUUUCCCCACAAUGUUGGCCUUGGAGC
Prunus dulcis (almond) is the source of this 2378-nucleotide RNA transcript. It is a transcript of the gene named beta-glucosidase BoGH3B-like, with no coding region annotated. Lineage: Eukaryota; Viridiplantae; Streptophyta; Magnoliopsida; Rosales; Rosaceae. The transcript is spliced from 12 exons. The record is from RefSeq and is a predicted model, not a curated record.